AAUGAACGCUGGCGGCGCGCCUAAUACAUGCAAGUCGAGCGAGAAGACGUAGCAAUACGUUUGUAAAGCGGCGAACGGGUGAGGAAUACAUGGGUAACCUACCCUUGAGCGGGGAAUAACUAGCUGAAAGGUUAGCUAAUACCGCGUACGCUUCCUGGACUUCGGUUCAGGGAGGAAAGCGAUGCCGGGGGUAUCGCGCUCUUGGAUGGGCGUCAUGUCCUAUCAGCUUGUUGGUGAGGUAACGGCUCACCAAGGCUUCGACGGGUAGCUGGUCUGAGAGGACGGAUCAGCCACACUGGCACUGCGACACGGGCCAGACUCCUACGGGAGGCAGCAGUAAGGAAUAUUGCGCAAUGGGCGAAAGCCCGACGCA
This 373-nucleotide ribosomal RNA is filed under the name uncultured bacterium. RNAcentral's name for it is "bacterial SSU rRNA". It matches the Rfam family "Bacterial small subunit ribosomal RNA", at positions 29 to 390 of the family's 1533-position model. The record is from RNAcentral.